AACGAACGCUGGCGGCAUGCCUAACACAUGCAAGUCGAACGAGACCUUCGGGUCUAGUGGCGCCCGGGUGCGUAACGCGUGGGAACCUGCACUUAGGUUCGGCAUAACUCCCCGAAAGGGGUGCUAAUACCGGAUCAUGUCUUCGGACCAAAGAUUUAUCGACUUUGGGUGGGCCCGCGUUGGAUUAGCUAGUUGGUAGGGUAAAAGCCUACCAAGGCGCCUAUCCAUAGCUGGUCUGGGUGGAUGAUCAGCAACACUGGACUGAGACACGGCCCAGACUCCUACGGGAGGCAGCAGUGGGGAAUAUUGGACAAUGGGCGAAAGCCUGAUCCAGCAAUGCCGCGUGAGUGAUGAAGGCCUUAGGGUUGUAAAGCUCUUUUACCCGUGAUGAUAAUGACAGUACCGGGAGAAUAAGCUCCGGCUAACUCCGUG
This 432-nucleotide ribosomal RNA is filed under the name uncultured bacterium. RNAcentral describes it as "partial 16S ribosomal RNA". It matches the Rfam family "Bacterial small subunit ribosomal RNA", at positions 29 to 507 of the family's 1533-position model. The record is from RNAcentral.